GAACUUGUUCCUAACGCAAGGAUAUCUAGCUGAUAAUUAGAUUUAAGGGGGUUAAAGUCCCUCCAAGUUCU
Molecule: transfer RNA, 71 nt
Filed under: Linckia laevigata
Lineage: Eukaryota; Metazoa; Echinodermata; Asteroidea; Valvatida; Ophidiasteridae
Description: tRNA-Ile
Rfam family: tRNA
About the family: Transfer RNA (tRNA) molecules are approximately 80 nucleotides in length.
Source: RNAcentral